CAAUAGAUACCCGGGUAGUCCACGCCGUAAACGAUGGAUGCUAGCUGUUAUGCGUAUCGACCCGUGUAGUAGCGAAGCUAACGCGUUAAGCAUCCCGCCUGGGGAGUACGAACGCAAGUUUAAAACUCAAAGGAAUUGACGGGGACCCGCACAAGCGGUGGAGCGUGUUCUUUAAUUCGAGGCUAAGCGAAGAACCUUACCAGGGCUUGACAUCCUUGGAAUUUCUCCGAAAGGAGAGAGUACUUUAUUGGGCCAAGUGACAGGUGCUGCAUGGCCGUCGUCAGCUCGUGUCGUGAGAUGUUUGGUUAAGUCCAUUAACGAGCGCAACCCUUAUGAAUAGUUGUAUUUUUCUAUUCAGACUGCCCCGGUAACGGGUAGGAAGGGGGGAUGAUGUCAGGUCAGUAUUGCCCUUACGCCCUGGGCUAGAAACGCGCUACAAUGGCCGGUACAAUGCGCUGCCAACCCGCGAGGGGGAGCAAAUCGCAUCAAAGCCGGUCCCAGUUCGGAUAAGAGGCUGAAACUCGCCUCUUUGAAGCCGGAAUCGCUAGUAAUCGU
This 555-nucleotide ribosomal RNA is filed under the name uncultured bacterium. RNAcentral describes it as "bacterial SSU rRNA". It matches the Rfam family "Bacterial small subunit ribosomal RNA", at positions 776 to 1345 of the family's 1533-position model. The record is from RNAcentral.